RNAcentral lists this long non-coding RNA (1896 nucleotides) under Homo sapiens (human). Its description in RNAcentral is "HSALNT0183704". The record is from RNAcentral. Lineage: Eukaryota; Metazoa; Chordata; Mammalia; Primates; Hominidae.
CAAAUGUUGACCAACAGCUGAAUGGCCAACCAAACUGUGGUGCACCGAUACAAUGGAAUACUAAUCAGCAAUGAAAAGAAAGGACAUAUUGAUACACACAUUUGGCUGAAUCUCAAAAUACUUACGUUGAGUGAAAAGGAGCCAGAAAAAACAAGAGUACAUUCUCUAUAAUUCUAUUUACACAAAAAAUAGAAAAUGCAACUCAUCCACUGUGAUAGAAGCGAUCAGUAUUUUCCUGGGAUCACAAAGGGAAGCAAAAAAAAAAAAAAACUUGGGGGACAAAGUCCACAAAGAUACUCAGGGCCCAAAGAUAUGGAGAUGGGUGGUCGGUAGACUGGCCAGUGGCGUUAGGGCUGGCAUGAAGUCCUGAACUUUUCAGGAAGCUCUGUGAGGGCUUAGAACCAACGUCAGAGAAACCAGAAAGCUUAUUUCAGGUUGUUUGGUGUCUAAUAACUCAGAAAUUAAAAUUCUGCCUGCAAAGUAGGUCCCACACAGCCUGAAAAUUCUCUGCUUUGUUAGGACUCAGAAGGCAUGGCCUCCAAAUGUUGCCUAAUGAUAAUCAGGGCUGAAGUGGAAUCAGAUGCAACAGUUCCUGAGAUCUGACAUCAUCCUUAGGUGGCCUCAGGCCCCUGGGUGGCAGGGCGGCUGGAGUCUGGUUCGGAAGCAGUGUCCUGAUUGUGCAAUCAGAGAUAAUUGGUUUCUAACUCUGAUCCCAUUUAUUCUUCCCAUCUCCAGCCAGGAAAAGCUGCCUUGGCUCCUUUGUUUUUAGCCUCCACAUUUUCUUACUGUCAGCUGCUAAACAUUUUCGUUUCUUCCAUCUUCUGGCAUCUUCUCUUGCCUACCUCAUGCAGCCCUUCCCUCACCUUCGGGCUGCUCAUCAUUUACUCUCCUCUCCUUGCCCCCUGGGCAACACAGGCAGCCCGUUCUCCCCAUCCCCUUUCCAGAAGAACCCCUGAUCACCCUCGGAAAACGUGUCCCUUAUGCCAUCCCCCAGGAAGUGUAGUAGCUCCCCUCUCUUUCCCUUGAGCAGCAACUACAGAAUCCACCCUCCCUUUGAUUAAUAACAUCCCCUGCUGCCAUGCUGUUUCUUUAAAAACCAACCAUCCCUGUGUCUCUUACACCAGACUGCCAGCUUCCUGGGGUUUGCCUUGCCAGCCCCUUUCCCAUCCACGAGUUGCCUGUGCUCAGUGAAAAUGUCACUAGGCUUUUUGCAUAAGCCCAAGUAAAGCAGAACUCAUUCAUUCGGGGGGGAAAAAGCCUAGGUUGCAAUGACUUUACACAUCAAUAAGACAUAUGUAUAAAGCUGUUCAAGUUGUUAAUGAUUCAACAUGAAACAUCCAAUAUCACACGGGACAAAGCACCUUACUAACCAUUAAUGAAUACGCAUACACAGAAUAUGAGAUCGCUCCUGAACUCCUUUCAGCUGCCUUUGAUAAUACAGGCUCCUGUAUCAUCCCUGCCACAUAAUGAAAACCUCAGCCUGAAUUGUAUCAAUGCAAAUCACAGGAGCUGCCUGCAAGCUUGUGUAUUAUAACUUACCUGUGGGGCCAAUAAAAAGAUAUCCCAUUAUCAGCCUUGUCCACUUAACUAUUAAUAAGACAUUCCCAGGCCUUCCAUCCCAUGCCCCUUUCCUGCUCACAUGACCAGCACCACAAAACCUGCUUCACUUCCCCACUUGCAGACUUAACUAGGGAAAGGUGCUCCGAGUGAUUUGAGCAUCUACAAAAUGAAAUCCACAUAGAAUAAUAGAAGGGAGUUCUUCAGUGGUGCAAGGUCUUUCCUCCCAAACACUGGAAGUCCCAGGGACUGAGGCACCUCUGUCCUGAGCCACAGUCCUUCCAUUUCUUCGGAAAGGCCUUCCUCAGAGUCUUAGGUCUUGUCCGCUGUCUUCCUUGC